UACGUAGGGACCAAGCGUUGUUCGGAUUUACUGGGCGUAAAGGGCGCGUAGGCGGCUCUGUAAGUCACUUGUGAAAUCUCUGAGCUUAACUCAGAACGGCCAAGUGAUACUGCAGUGCUAGAGUGCGGAAGGGGCAAUCGGAAUUCUUGGUGUAGCGGUGAAAUGCGUAGAUAUCAAGAGGAACACCUGAGGUGAAGACGGGUUGCUGGGCCGACACUGACGCUGACAGCGCGAAAGCCAGGGGAGCAAACGGG
Molecule: ribosomal RNA, 254 nt
Filed under: uncultured bacterium
Lineage: Bacteria
Description: partial 16S ribosomal RNA
Rfam family: Bacterial small subunit ribosomal RNA
Source: RNAcentral